This 480-nucleotide ribosomal RNA is filed under the name uncultured bacterium. Its description in RNAcentral is "bacterial SSU rRNA". It matches the Rfam family "Bacterial small subunit ribosomal RNA", at positions 28 to 507 of the family's 1533-position model. The record is from RNAcentral.
GAUGAACGCUGGCGGCGUGCAUAACACAUUCAAGUCGAACGGAGUUAUUGGAAGGAAGUCUUCGGAUGGAAUGAAGAUAACUUAGUGGCGGACGGGUGAGUAACGCGUGAGCAACCUGCCUUGGCAUGGGGGAUAACGUUUGGAAACGAACGCUAAUACCGCAUAUCGCAUAGGGACCGCAUGAUUCUUAUGCAAAAGAUUUAUUGUGCUAAGAUGGGCUCGCGUCCCAUUAGAUAGUUGGUGAGGUAACGGCCCACCAAGUCGACGAUGGGUAGCCGAACUGAGAGGUUGAACGGCCACAUUGGAACUGAGAUACGGUCCAGACUCCUACGGGAGGCAGCAGUGGGGAAUAUUGGGCAAUGGGCGAAAGCCUGACCCAGCGACGCCGCGUGAGGGAAGAAGGUCUUCGGAUUGUAAACCUUUGUUGAUAGGGACGAACAGAUGACGGUACCUAUCGAGGAAGCCACGGCUAACUACGUG